This 749-nucleotide ribosomal RNA is filed under the name uncultured archaeon. RNAcentral's name for it is "bacterial SSU rRNA". It matches the Rfam family "Archaeal small subunit ribosomal RNA", at positions 102 to 856 of the family's 1478-position model. The record is from RNAcentral.
GGACAACCUACCCUAAGGAGGGGGAUAACCCCGGAAAACUGGGGAUAAUACCCCAUAGACUACAGAUGCUGGAAUGCUCUGUAAUCGAAAGGUCCGCCGCCUUAGGAUGGGUCUGCGGCUGAUUAGGUUGUUGUUGGGGUAACGGCCCAACAAGCCUGUAAUCAGUACGGGUUGUGGGAGCAAGAACCCGGAGAUGGAUUCUGAGACACGAAUCCAGGCCCUACGGGGCGCAGCAGGCGCGAAAACUUUACAAUGCGGGAAACCGUGAUAAGGGAACCCCGAGUGCCCGUAAAAUCGGGCUGUUAACCUGUUUAAAAAGCAGGUGGAGAAAGGGCCGGGCAAGACCGGUGCCAGCCGCCGCGGUAAUACCGGCGGCUCGAGUGGUGGCCACUAUUACUGGGCUUAAAGCGUCCGUAGCUGGAUUGUUAAGUCUCUUGGGAAAUCUACCGGCUUAACCGAUAGGCGUUCAAGGGAUACUGGCAACCUAGGGACCGGAAGAGGUGAGAGGUACUCCAGGGGUAGGAGUGAAAUCCUGUAAUCCUUGGGGGACCACCUGUGGCGAAGGCGUCUCACCAGAACGGCUCCGACAGUGAGGGACGAAAGCUGGGGGAGCAAACCGGAUUAGAUACCCGGGUAGUCCCAGCUGUAAACGAUGCGCGUUAGGUGUAUCGGUGACCACGAGUCACCGAGGUGCCGAAGAGAAAUCGUGAAACGUGCCGCCUGGGAAGUACGGUCGCAAGGCUGAAACU